AGUUAUAUUAGCUCAAUUGGUAGAGCAUUCGUUUUGUAAUCGAAAGGUUUGGGGUUCAAAUCCCUAAUAUAACAACA
This 77-nucleotide transfer RNA is filed under the name Saccharomyces eubayanus. RNAcentral describes it as "tRNA-Thr". It matches the Rfam family "tRNA". From Rfam's summary of the family: Transfer RNA (tRNA) molecules are approximately 80 nucleotides in length. Their secondary structure includes four short double-helical elements and three loops (D, anti-codon, and T loops). The record is from RNAcentral. Lineage: Eukaryota; Fungi; Ascomycota; Saccharomycetes; Saccharomycetales; Saccharomycetaceae.